GCUAGUAAUGGCAGGUCAGCAUACUGCCGUGAAUACGUUCCCGGGCCUUGUACGCACCGCCCGUCACACCAUGAGAGUUGGGAAUACCCGAAGCCUGUGAGCUAACGUUAAGAGGCAGCAGUCGAAGGUAGAAUCAAUGAUUGGGGUGAAGUCGUAACAAGGUAAC
RNAcentral lists this ribosomal RNA (166 nucleotides) under uncultured bacterium. RNAcentral describes it as "partial 16S ribosomal RNA". It matches the Rfam family "Bacterial small subunit ribosomal RNA", at positions 1334 to 1500 of the family's 1533-position model. The record is from RNAcentral.